AUGCUUUUGGAAAAAACAAAAUAAAAACGGGUUCAAAAUGCAUAUUUGGAAGCUGUAAAGAUGCCCAUUUGUACGAACAGCAGAGGAAAAAUGAUGCCACAAGAAGAUUCUUGGACGCCAGUAUCCCCGAAACAGUUCCUCGGUGCAUUUGCGCCUUUUCCGCGUUUCGCCUGGAUUCAUCCAAACGCACCCAGGGACAGCUUUGAUGAGGUUUGCAAAAACGUCUGGAGUAGAGGUCAAAGUUCACUGCAGAGAGAAGCGAGUAAAGACAGCACUCGUUCAGUCAACAAGCGAAGUCACAGGGCUGAAAGGCAGCAGGAAGGGACAGAUGAUUACAUGCACUAUAAGGAAGACGAGAAGCAGCACCACACUGACUUCACCCCUCCUUGCCAUUAUCUCUCAGGCCGCAGAUAUCCACGUGUUGCCAAGCCCGCAUGGGGGCUGAGCCCUGUGAAGGAAGCAGAGAUGAGACAAUUUAAGGAAGAGGCAAGUGGGAAAAGAAACUUGUCAUGUCAGGAGAAUGAUGUCCAAGAUAAACCAAGGAGUGUAGAAAACUCCCUUCAGAAGAUGUGGGUCUCUCAACCCAGCAGUAAAGGCAAAGAGAGCUCUGUACUUGUGCCUCAACAUCUGGUGACGAAUCCUGUCUGCUUUGAAGGCCACACCCCACACCUGCCAGAUGGACAACAUUCUCUCCAUCCUUCUAAUCUACCCAGGGAUACAUGUGAAAGUGAGAAUGAGCAGAAUGCAAGAUGUGACCCAGACAGCUACUCUAGUGAUGAUAGCAAUCUUGUUAGUCUACCUGGGGUGCAAAGUUGUGCCACUGACAGCAGCAAAAAUGACUUAGUGUUUAGUGCAAAAGAGGUGAAGAAAAAGGAAAUUCCACACUCGUCUGUUCAAUUGAGCUCUGACAAUGAGCAGGAUUUCUUUUCUAAUAUUGAUAAAGACUUUCCUGCACUUACCACCGUCAGUGCUGGCAUUUCACUAUGUCCCACAGAACCAUCAGCCUUGGGGAAGAUGAAGGGCCAGUGGGAGAUUCCCCUUUCAUUCUACCCGCAUGACACACCCACUGUCACUUUGGCAAGUGCAGUGAGUGGCCCUGUGCGGGCUCCAAACCAAGGCAAAACAGAAGCACCUGAGGCGCAUUCAAAAACCAAAGCUCUACCAGCAGUCCCAGUGCAGACAAAAGCUUAUGACCUACUGGCUGAUUUCCCAGCCCUCCAGCCCCCAAAGAAGCCCUUAGCGCUGGGUGCAUUGCAUCACGGGAAUCCCAAGACCAAAGAUGCAGAAGGGAAAAGAAUUCUCACUCAUAUGCCAAUUCACUGCCAAAGCAGUCAGGGUUCCCAUGAGAGGAGAUUGGAAAAUUUACCCCACAAGGUCUCCUCCAUCUGUGCAGGAGAUCUGAAAUCUGUGCUGGACCUUCAAACAUUUGGCGCGGUCAGCCAUCACAACUCUCCCACCAUCAGCUGUGAGCAACCUAAGGCCAACAAGCAGCAGCCGCCUAGAGUUGCAGGUGCAGAUGGCGUGGGUGUCAGUGCCAGGUCCUGGGCUAACGUUGCCAAGGCAGGCAUGAAGCAAGCAGCUGCCCCUCAGGAGAAAGCCAGACCUUGUACGUUUCAGCAGAGCUGAACUUGGUGGCACUCAAAAAAAUCACCAAGAAUCCAACACUUUCCCAUCUGGGACUAAAUCAGAAGGUGACAACUUUGUAUCAAGGCCCUCAGCCCUGCAAUCAAAACCACUUAUUUAGACCUGGCAACCCCCCUGCCCAUCAGAGGGUCUGACUCAUGCACCAGUUCUCCUUCUGAUGCUGGCCAUCACCUAAAUAUUCC
RNA transcript from Archocentrus centrarchus (flier cichlid), 1826 nucleotides. RefSeq lists it as uncharacterized. The transcript has 6 exons. Lineage: Eukaryota; Metazoa; Chordata; Actinopteri; Cichliformes; Cichlidae. The record is from RefSeq and is a predicted model, not a curated record.